UGCGUAGGCGGAAUAUUAAGUCAGUGGUGAAAUCCUGCAGCUUAACUGUAGAACUGUCAUUGAUACUGGUAUUCUUGAAUACAGUUGAAGUAGGCGGAAUGUGUAAUGUAGCGGUGAAAUGCUUAGAUAUUACACAGAACACCGAUUGCGAAGGCAGCUUACUAAACUGUGAUUGACGCUGAGGCACGAAAGCGUGGGGAGCAAACAGGAUUAGAUACCCUGGUAGUCC
This 229-nucleotide ribosomal RNA is filed under the name uncultured bacterium. RNAcentral's name for it is "partial 16S ribosomal RNA". It matches the Rfam family "Bacterial small subunit ribosomal RNA", at positions 568 to 796 of the family's 1533-position model. The record is from RNAcentral.